CCCUCUUUGACUGUGACAAAUGAGCUCAAGUACUAGACUGUUUUAGGGUUCUUAUGUACUUUGCAGCUUUGAUUUUCUUUUUUGGUAUCUUUGUUUACUCAAUAUAGGAUUAGUACUAUUGAUUUUGAACUGUGCUUGUUCAAUUUUCAGCACCUUCUUAUUAUUUGCGAAACCUUGAUUCUACUCACAUGCCCUUUUUCAUGUCUCACAAUUUCUUUUCUUUUAUGCAUUGUGUUUUGUUGCUCGUUUUUAAUUUCCAAGUCGCGCAGUCUAUAAGCAUCAUUGAUCAAUUGUUUGGGUCUACUGAAUAGCCAGUGUAAUCCAUAUAGUUCAAGGAGCUUUUUGAAGAAAGGAAAAUUUUAAUCUUGCUAAGGUAAGAUAAUUACAGCACUAUGCGGUGCAGCGAAAUGAAUUGAAACGGGAAUAGUUGCUGUGAUACUAUCUUAAAUGCUGCUUUGCUGCAGAUUUUGGUAUGUAGCUGAUCUUUCUCAAAUGAAUGUGUUCUUCUCACAUGUAAAAUGCUGAUAAGUUGAAUGAAACUCCACCUUUUAGCUCUUUUUCCUGUAAUGGGGCAGAGUUGUGCAUAACGUUUUGCACGUGACCGAGAUAGCUAAAGAUUUGUUGCAGCUUCAAGGGAGGAAUGUCAUCUUCACAUUGUUUCGAAUAACUAACUAAGAAUGCACAUCUGCCUUUACAUAUUACUUUUGUACAGAAAAGGUGAAUUAGGGGCCUUAUUUCCUGCUUUCAAGAGGGGGAUUUCGCAAUGUGUCGCAUGAGCCUGCUUUCCUGUUCACAUCUGGCCAACUACAUGAGGGGAUCUGUUCCUCUAUCACCACUGCAUCUUAUGGUAACCACCAUUAAUGCUCAGCAUUGUAGUCUGUGUAAUAUUUGUCCCUGUGUUGAUUAAUGUCAAACUUAGUUCGCACAUUUUGUUCGUAAUUAUGGAAGCUUUAAUUGAAAUGCUCGAAGAUCGUGAAUCCCUCUAGUCAUUCAGAGUCAAAGCAGUAACCCUGUUUCUGCUUUCUGUUGAAUGAAUUUUUUCUUUCCCCACAUUGCUCCUUGCUAUGUUUUGCUUUGGCUUUUCUUUUUUAUGUGUCGUUGUUGAAGGCUCCGAUGAUGAUGUCUAUAUUCUAGUAUAUCGUUCCAAUUGCUGAACUGCUCCACCAUGUUAGUGGUAAUGUAGAGAUGAAGGGACAACUGAGGAGCUUGCUUGCACUCUUUUUAUGUAGAGUAAAGGUCAAAACUGGUUCUGAACA
Molecule: long non-coding RNA, 1256 nt
Organism: Salvia splendens (bonfire salvia)
Lineage: Eukaryota; Viridiplantae; Streptophyta; Magnoliopsida; Lamiales; Lamiaceae
Exons: 4
Source: RefSeq, a predicted model, not a curated record